RNAcentral lists this non-coding RNA (29 nucleotides) under Homo sapiens (human). The record is from RNAcentral. Lineage: Eukaryota; Metazoa; Chordata; Mammalia; Primates; Hominidae.
GAGGAAAGGUCUGGAGCCAGUGUAUUGCA